CGCGGAGUGGAGCAGUUGGCAGCUCGUCGGGCUCAUAACCCGAAGGUCGUAGGUUCAAGUCCUGUCCCCGCAACCA
RNAcentral lists this transfer RNA (76 nucleotides) under Clostridium botulinum. RNAcentral describes it as "tRNA-Met". It matches the Rfam family "tRNA". Rfam says of the family: Transfer RNA (tRNA) molecules are approximately 80 nucleotides in length. Their secondary structure includes four short double-helical elements and three loops (D, anti-codon, and T loops). Lineage: Bacteria; Bacillati; Bacillota; Clostridia; Eubacteriales; Clostridiaceae. RNAcentral also lists the same sequence under 1 other name. The record is from RNAcentral.